This 446-nucleotide ribosomal RNA is filed under the name uncultured bacterium. RNAcentral describes it as "partial 16S ribosomal RNA". It matches the Rfam family "Bacterial small subunit ribosomal RNA", at positions 329 to 792 of the family's 1533-position model. The record is from RNAcentral.
GCCCAGACUCCUACGGGAGGCAGCAGUGGGGGAUAUUGCACAAUGGGGGAAACCCUGAUGCAGCGACGCCGCGUGGGUGAAGAAGCGCCUCGGCGCGUAAAGCCCUGUCAGCAGGGAAGAAAAUGACGGUACCUGAAGAAGAAGCCCCGGCUAACUACGUGCCAGCAGCCGCGGUAAUACGUAGGGGGCAAGCGUUAUCCGGAUUUACUGGGUGUAAAGGGAGCGCAGGCGGCCUUGCAAGUCUGAUGUGAAAGGCCGGGGCCCAACCCCGGGACUGCAUUGGAAACUGCGAGGCUGGAGUGUCGGAGAGGCAGGCGGAAUUCCUAGUGUAGCGGUGAAAUGCGUAGAUAUUAGGAGGAACACCAGUGGCGAAGGCGGCCUACUGGACGGUGACUGACGCUGAGGCUCGAAAGCGUGGGGAGCAAACAGGAUUAGAUACCCUCGUA